CAAAAUGUAGCUUAACUAAAGCCUCUCGCUUACACCGAGAAAACGUCUGUGCAACCCGGAUCAUUUUGA
RNAcentral lists this transfer RNA (69 nucleotides) under Mercurana myristicapalustris. Its description in RNAcentral is "tRNA-Val". It matches the Rfam family "tRNA". From Rfam's summary of the family: Transfer RNA (tRNA) molecules are approximately 80 nucleotides in length. Their secondary structure includes four short double-helical elements and three loops (D, anti-codon, and T loops). The record is from RNAcentral. Lineage: Eukaryota; Metazoa; Chordata; Amphibia; Anura; Rhacophoridae.